Long non-coding RNA from Scophthalmus maximus (turbot), 840 nucleotides. RefSeq lists it as uncharacterized. The transcript is spliced from 3 exons. The record is from RefSeq and is a predicted model, not a curated record. NCBI's taxonomy places the organism in Eukaryota, Metazoa, Chordata, Actinopteri, Pleuronectiformes, Scophthalmidae.
UGAAAUGCAUUAUUAGUAGCAUACUGUGUGAACAAAAUAUCUUACUGUUUCAUCUCCAUAUGCAGACUUUUCCUGAUCCAGGCCAGGAAUCUUCAAAAAAUAAUUUGGAGAAGGGAACAGCAAUGCAGGGUGCCAUUUGAGCCGGGAAGAAUGAUAUAUUACAUGAACAAAAUAGAUGAAUGCACAUCGAAUUAGAAUCCAAUUAGAAAGUCAGCGUGAAAAUAUAAUAUCAAAUAAGUAUGGAAGCGCAGCAGCUCAGCCGCAGCAAAUUAAGUCAAACGUUGAGCAACAACAGCAACGUACUGACUUGUUAGUGAUCAGCCGAAAAAAUACAUGCACACAACAAUUUUUUCUGAGUCAUGAGCACUUACCAUACUCUUGCGGGCCUCAGCAAAGAGCUUCUUCUCAUCCUCCAAUCUCUUCUUCGCAUCUUCCUCUGCUUUCUUUUGCUCUUCUUCUCUCCGCUGUCGUUCCAGAUCCUCAAAACUGGCGCAUAUCUUCCCGGGCUCACUGCCCUCCAGGUUCACCAAGGCCAUCAGCGCCUCGUCGUCCUCAUCCACAAGCUGAGUAAAAACAAACAGAGUUGAGCUUUGAGGAGAGUAGACAAGAAGUGGCUAAUGGUGUUGUCUUCUUCUGCCAGGCGUGUGUAACUUCUCAAAGUGUGGCUCCUGCACCAACUACCUCUAGUUCAAGUUAAAGCAUAUUGGCGGCGUUUGGCGUCUUCCUCAGCAUGCCUCUUCCUCUGCUCCUGUCUCUCCUUCUCCAGCUCCUCAAAGGUCAUUCUAAGCUUACCAGGAGUCACCUGCGUCUUCUCAGAGGGCUUCUCCUCUUCAUCCUAAC